GAUGAACGCUGGCGGCGUGCUUAACACAUGCAAGUCGAACGGAAAGGCUCCUGCUUGCAGGGGUACUCGAGUGGCGAACGGGUGAGUAACACGUGGGUGAUCUGCCCUGCACUUCGGGAUAAGCCUGGGAAACUGGGUCUAAUACCGGAUAGGACGAUGGUUUGGAUGCCAUUGUGGAAAGUUUUGCGGUGUGGGAUGAGCUCGCGGCCUAUCAGCUUGUUGGUGGGGUAAUGGCCUACCAAGGCGUCGACGGGUAGCCGGCCUGAGAGGGUGUACGGCCACAUUGGGACUGAGAUACGGCCCAGACUCCUAAGGGAGGCAGCAGUGGGGAAUAUUGCACAAUGGGCGCAAGCCUGAUGCAGCGACGCCGCGUGGGGGAUGACGGCCUUCGGGUUGUAAACUCCUUUCGCUAGGGAAGAAGCGCAAGUGACGGUACCUGGAGAAGAAGCACCGGCUAACUACGUG
This 465-nucleotide ribosomal RNA is filed under the name uncultured bacterium. RNAcentral describes it as "partial 16S ribosomal RNA". It matches the Rfam family "Bacterial small subunit ribosomal RNA", at positions 28 to 507 of the family's 1533-position model. The record is from RNAcentral.